This 253-nucleotide ribosomal RNA is filed under the name uncultured bacterium. RNAcentral's name for it is "partial 16S ribosomal RNA". It matches the Rfam family "Bacterial small subunit ribosomal RNA", at positions 524 to 776 of the family's 1533-position model. The record is from RNAcentral.
UACGUAGGGUGCAAGCGUUGUCCGGAAUUAUUGGGCGUAAAGAGCUCGUAGGCGGCUUGUCGCGUCGGCUGUGAAAACCUGAGGCUCAACCUCGGGCCUGCAGCCGAUACGGGCAAGCUAGAAUUCGGUAGGGGAGACUGGAAUUCCUGGUGUAGCGGUGAAAUGCGCAGAUAUCAGGAGGAACACCUGCGGUGUAGACGGCUUUCUGGACCAUUGCUGACGCUGAGACACGAAAGCGUGGGUAGCAAACAGG